This is an RNA transcript of Galeopterus variegatus (Sunda flying lemur), 938 nucleotides long. It is a transcript of the gene named protein kinase C-binding protein NELL1-like, with no coding region annotated. The record is from RefSeq and is a predicted model, not a curated record. NCBI's taxonomy places the organism in Eukaryota, Metazoa, Chordata, Mammalia, Dermoptera, Cynocephalidae. The transcript has 4 exons.
AUGACAGUGAAAGAAUUAAAAACUAUGGAUGGGAAGAUAUUCUGCCGACGGACUGCUUGUGAUUGCCAGAAUCCAAGUGUUGACCUUUUCUGUUGUCCAGAGUGUGACACCCGGGUCACAAGUCAAUGUUUAGAUCAAAACGGACACAAGCUCUAUCGAAGUGGAGACAACUGGACUCACAGCUGCCAACAGUGUCGGUGUCUGGAAGGAGAGGUAGAUUGCUGGCCACUAACUUGCCCCAAUUUGAGCUGUGAGUACACAGCCAUCUCAGAAGGUGAAUGUUGUCCACACUGUGUCAGUGACCCCUGCCUGGCUGAUAACAUCGCCUAUGACAUCAGAAAAACUUGCCUGGACAGCUAUGGCAUUUCGAGGCUUAGUGGUUCAGUAUGGACAAUGGCUGGAGCUCCCUGCACAACCUGUAAAUGCAAGAAUGGGAAAGUCUGCUGUUCUGUGGAUUUGGAGUGUCUUCAAAAUAACUGAAGUAUUUAAAAUUGACUCAUCACAGGAGAAAAAUGGACAAAAUGACCAUCCGACAUGAUGAAGAAUAGAAUUUGGUGUGGUUGUUUUGUUUGUUUUUUUGUUUGUUUGUUUUUUACCACAGACAAUUACCAAAGUCUCCAUCUGAAAAGGGUGUUUGUGGGUUGCCUUUGGACCUACCACUUUGCUCCUUCUUGCUAACCUCGUCUAGGUGACCUACAGUGCAGUGCAUUUAAGUCUAUGGCUGUUAAAAAAAAAAAAAAAGUUUCCCGUGUCGUAAAUCACAUGUUUCCCUUAUGAGAUCAUUGGCAAACACAUUUAAAUGAUCUUAUGGUAAAUGUUGAUGUAUUUUUUUAUUUAUUUUGUGUACCAACAUAAGAGACUUGUCUCCUUUUAUUUAUUUUUUCUUGAUUUUUGGAUCAAAUUCUAAAAAUAAAGUUGCCUGUUGUGAUUUUGUCCCA